CAGAAAUACAAUUCUUCUAUUUAGAAGAUAUUCACUAUCACACAACUUUUUCGUUCUGGAUGCCAAUUGGGAGCAACCUAAAAUAUAUUUCAAGGCGCACAUAUCAACAAGAUUAUUGAGUGAGGACGAAAUAUCCGAUCUCGAAACAUUUUUUUCACUGGAUAAUAACGACUUCAUUAGACUAAAAUAAAAAACCGCACAAGUAAAAGCUAUACUGAAUCUUCAAAAAAAAUAUCAAGACGGCCUUUAUAGAGAAGAAAUUAUUGAAGAGGUUUACAUCAACGGUGAACCGGACACUGCUCAUGCAACACAUCAAACUACAAGCAUAUCUGCAAUCGCAUCAGUUGACAAGCCAAAGUUAUAUAAAUCUAUAAUUUUAGACAAGACUGUGGAUAUAAACAAGAUCUUUGGCCUUACUUACUGAAGGUAUUGCAGUCAUGGAGAAAUUUAAAUUUGCCACAGCAAUUACUGAUAAGCUUAUUACAAAAA
Molecule: long non-coding RNA, 489 nt
Organism: Wyeomyia smithii (pitcher-plant mosquito)
Lineage: Eukaryota; Metazoa; Arthropoda; Insecta; Diptera; Culicidae
Exons: 3
Source: RefSeq, a predicted model, not a curated record